UAAAACUUUCAACAACGGAUCUCUUGGCUCUCGCAUCGAUGAAGAACGCAGCGAAAUGCGAUAAGUAAUGUGAAUUGCAGAAUUCAGUGAAUCAUCGAAUCUUUGAACGCACCUUGCGCUCCUUGGUAUUCCGAGGAGCAUGCCUGUUUGAGUGUC
Molecule: ribosomal RNA, 156 nt
Filed under: Naganishia friedmannii
Lineage: Eukaryota; Fungi; Basidiomycota; Tremellomycetes; Filobasidiales; Filobasidiaceae
Description: 5.8S ribosomal RNA
Rfam family: 5.8S ribosomal RNA
About the family: 5.8S ribosomal RNA (5.8S rRNA) is a component of the large subunit of the eukaryotic ribosome. It is transcribed by RNA polymerase I as part of the 45S precursor that also contains 18S and 28S rRNA.
Source: RNAcentral